RNAcentral lists this ribosomal RNA (431 nucleotides) under uncultured bacterium. Its description in RNAcentral is "partial 16S ribosomal RNA". It matches the Rfam family "Bacterial small subunit ribosomal RNA", at positions 338 to 795 of the family's 1533-position model. The record is from RNAcentral.
CCUACGGGGGGCAGCAGUGGGGAAUAUUGCGCAAUGGGCGAAAGCCUGACGCAGCGACGCCGCGUGAGGGACGAAGGCCUUCGGGUUGUAAACCUCUUUCAGCGGGAGCACUGUACCUGCAGAAGAAGCACCGGCUAACUACGUGCCAGCAGCCGCGGUAAUACGUAGGGUGCAAGCGUUGUCCGGAAUUAUUGGGCGUAAAGAGCUCGUAGGCGGUUUGUCACGUCGGAUGUGAAACCCUGAGGCUCAACCUCAGGCCUGCAUUCGAUACGGGCAGACUAGAAUUCGGCAGGGGAGACUGGAAUUCCUGGUGUAGCGGUGAAAUGCGCAGAUAUCAGGAGGAACACCGGUGGCGAAGGCGGGUCUCUGGGCGAAUUGACGCUGAGGAGCGAAAGCGUGGGGAGCAAACAGGAUUAGAUACCCUUGUAGUC